RNAcentral lists this transfer RNA (68 nucleotides) under Eupristina koningsbergeri. Its description in RNAcentral is "tRNA-Val". Lineage: Eukaryota; Metazoa; Arthropoda; Insecta; Hymenoptera; Agaonidae. The record is from RNAcentral.
UAAAUUUUAGUUUAUUUAAAAUAUUUUUUUUACAAAAAAAAGAUAGUAUAUUUAUAUAUUAAAUUUAA